Molecule: non-coding RNA, 58 nt
Organism: Leifsonia sp. Root4
Lineage: Bacteria; Bacillati; Actinomycetota; Actinomycetes; Micrococcales; Microbacteriaceae
Source: Rfam
UGGCACCAUCCAUCACAACGGAUCGUCCGGCACGUACCUGCCGGUGAAGGAGAUACAC